AAAUAGUAUGGCGUCAGAGGCGGCAGGCAGCCUGCGACCAUGGCCAGCUGUCCCCAGCAAGCGGCUGGGAGGGCGGCUUUACAUGUUUACUAGGAACAGAUUAAUCAGGCCUGCGGUCCGAUGAUACAUCAGAAUUACUAGCAGGUUAAUGAGGCCUCAGGGCACACGGGACCUCUGUGCCUUCUCCCUCCCCAGCACCCCGGCGGAGCAACGGGGUCAGGGGCUCAGCCAGCAGGCAGCAUGGGAGUUAUGUUGGACCUGAAGGGGUCCCCUUCCUGACCAGAGUGUCCCCACGAAAGGACAGAGCAGAGCUGCAACAUCUUUGGGGGAGGCACGUUUGAGUCACACGAUUAACCUCAGACCCCGCAGGUUAACAGCCGCAGAAUCCCAGGGUUGGCUUGAAAGUCACCAAACCACGCGAGCUACACCUGAAUGCAGGAGAUGAACAGAAUGCCAGAGACCAAGAGCGCACGUGGGGCCCAGGCAGAGUGCUUCGUGCAGUGACCUCACUUAACUGAAGCACCACUCGAAGAGAGCCUUUCAGGCAGUGCAGCCUCUAUCCCGGCUCCUCAGUGCUGCCACGUGGCGUGAAAGCAGUCGUGGCCGGUACGUGAAGAAGGCUCCUGGCCCGAAUGUUUGUGUCCCCCAAAAUUCAUAUGUGGAAGCCCUGACUCCCAGUGGGAUGCCGUUUGCCUUUGGGAGGUGAUUGGGUUUAGAUGAGGUCCUGAGGGUGGGGUCCCGUGAUGAGUUGGUGCCUUUAUAAGAAGAGGAAGAGACCAGAGCAAGCUCGUUCUCUGCCUGUGAGGACACGGGGAGAAGGCGGCCAUCCUCAAGCCAGGAAGAGAGGGCUCACAGACACUGAAUCUGCCAGCACCUGGAUCUCGGACUUCCACCCUCUAGAACUUUGAGAAAAGUGUCUGUUAUUGAAGUCCCUCCCCCCACCCCAUCUGUGGCGUUUUGUUAGGGAGGCCCAACAGUACAUGAGCAUGGCCCUGUACCAAUGAAGCAGUA
Physeter macrocephalus (sperm whale) is the source of this 1011-nucleotide long non-coding RNA. RefSeq lists it as uncharacterized. NCBI's taxonomy places the organism in Eukaryota, Metazoa, Chordata, Mammalia, Artiodactyla, Physeteridae. The transcript has 4 exons. The record is from RefSeq and is a predicted model, not a curated record.